UGCAGUAUGAUGGACAGAAUUCUACGUAAACGACCAAGAUGGCAAGAUUUUCAUCGAUCACCCUAGAUCGGAUCGGAAGAUCCUUCCGUUCAUUUACUUUUGGUCGACUGAUCAGGACAUUGCUCCCCAGUUGAAGCAGAAAAUGGGUUUCACGAGGGGAAGCCGAAAAAAGCAUCAUUUUGAUGCCACUGGACGCGAAUCCAGACAGGCGAGAAGCAGUAAAAGGUUUGGCCCUUAUUUUGAUUGAAAGCACACGCAAACGGCGCUGUAAGGUGAUCUUCAAGGGUCAAAUUGUACUCUUUACCAAGCAAUGAGUAUUCCGUCCAUUUGAUAGUUCCUAGCGUAUGGCCAGCAGAGGGCGGACUACAAUGCUUCAGCUUACGCAAUAAAAAAUCCAGCCGAUGAUUUGGAUUGGACAAGCCGUGCAACGGAUGCUCAUUGGUAAGCCAGGGUCGUCGCGGACAGGGUCGACAGGGAGACGAGUUCUCGCCGCAAGGAGGGCGGCGUCCAGCUUGAAGAAGGGGUGAUGGAGGGCGUGUCGAGGCUGAACCAGGUCGACGAACCCACGUCGACCACGGCAGCCAAGAGAUGGCAGCAAAGAUCGGGCCGAUCCCGAAGGAGCGAGAAGUCAGUUGCGGAAAGAGGACGGAAGCCUUCGAGAGAGGUCUUACUGGUUGUCCACACUAUAAACAAAAAGGAAGAUGUGAUGUUCACUCACUAGGUCAGAGGCUCAAGGACCUCUGCCCAUCAUAAGCGGCCACCCCAAACCAAUGGCGGGGCCAAUGAGCUCCAAGGUGGUGGACCAUCCCACAGCCCGUCAGCUCUCCAGCUGGGUGCAAUACUGCGAUGAAUUCCAACUCUCCAGCUCACAAAGCCGUUGCUAAGGAGCAAGGCACUGGACACCGUACGAGCACUUCUUAUGCACACGGAGAGCAUUGAACAGGUCGUUGAGACGCUUCAAACAAGGUACGGGCCAUCUGUCGGUUCCCAUCCCGAAGACGGAUUGAUGGACUUUCCUGUUCAGGUCCAAAAUCUAUGUCCCACCGCCAUGCAUAACAUCACUCUACUCCACCAGUUGAUGCAGAAGCUGACACCGGCACUGACCAUCAGCUGGGCCGAGUGACGAGCUACGUUGUCUGACAGGAGUGAGUCUGGCAGGCUUCAGUGCAUGGACUUCUUCUUUCGCUAACACACCGUACACGCAGUAACCUAUAAGCUACCCCGCGCAGAGGAAAGAGGGGCUGCCGGCAACGUGGCAGUGCAGUCCAGUCGGCGCGGCCCACAACACAAGCCCACGGCGAGAGAACAGGGCGUUUGCCAACGCCCAUACGAAGAAAGCAACCGAACCGAAGUGCCCGUUGUGUAAAAGCAGGAUGCCCUGGACUUGCCGAAUGCCGAAACGGAUCCGGAAACAAGCGUGACGCAGGCGAAGAGGGAGCAGGUGAAGAAAUCACCGCGGCCUAACUGUCUCGAGCCAAUGCAGGGACAGCGCAACCGGGCGACUUGCGCGAAAGAAGGCUGCUCCGGAAGACAUCCUACGCUGUUACAUAUGCCUAAAACAGAGGUAGGUGCAAAGAAAACCGAAACUGAAUGAGGUAUCUGUAACUCACACAACACUUUAAACUACGACACCCUGCCAAUACGUCGGCUGCCGGGUCGGCCUAAAAUUCUGGAGAUGACGCAGCGAGAGGAGCGGAACAGGGUUCCCACCAAAGCGAACUCAGCCGAUGAUGCAACCGGCGCGUCGCUCGCGGUCUUAGAUAUACUAGUUAACCAAGCACAGGACUAGCAAAACAAUUUGAACGUACUCACCACCAGAAAGAUCGUAGCUAGCGAAAUUGAUUAGAGCUAAGGGAAGCGGACCGUACCACGUACACGUUGGCACCGGAAGUAUGAUUAUGAUCCUUUUCUAAAGUCACCCUAGUGACAGAAACCAACCGGGUCUUUUAACCGGCCGGCUGUUUAAGGGUUUAAACAGCGUCCACACGACACACAAAGUUAUCGCAAAUACUUUCUUGCUCCUUCAGAACACAACACAAGAUCACUGUUCACAUAUGAUUUGACAGCUCCAAAAGGUGCGAGAAGCUCGUUGUCGCUUGCUCGCUGUAUAUUCGAUCGCAACACGUGGAUUUCAAUUAUCGCCAUCACUUCUCGGCGGAUUUGUAUGGGAUGACGUUUAAUUGAGAAUAAGUUCUCCAACAUUCGUCGUCGUGUAGACGCCGUUUUCUUCGGUCGUUGUCGGGGCCGGGGCAAUCUGUGGAGCGUCCAAACGCUGCGUUUUCAUUGCGAUUUUCAAGCGCAGAUCCCAUAGAUUGUGCUGAUUGUGCAAAACAUGAGAAACAAACAAUGACGCUUCAUCUAGACGGCAAUGAGAAAGCUCCAGGGAUGCAAUUCCCAUACGAAAAUGCUCGAAUCUCUAGGGGAAUUGUCUAGACACCGCCCCCCCCCCCCCCCACACACACACACACACACACACACACACACACAAGGAGAGCGCCGACCGGGGCAAGAGCGUGCGCUAAAAGGAAACUUCCCGACAACACCGGCCCAGCAAAGGAACUGCAGGCAUGCUUCUCGGGGUCACCAUCGAGUAAUAGAACCAUUGACAAUAGAUUUGACAUGCGUUUCGAGCUGCAACCGGUUUGGUACGAACAGUUUGCUUCGUACUCCGUUUCAUAAAGAACUGAAAAGUGGAGAGUGAGAACGAGACCCGCGAAACGAGCAGCAUCAAACCUCGAGAGCGGGGGCAAGCCGAAGACCGCACAGGACGAUACCGGAGAAGCGGUACGCCAGAAUUGGCUAGGGAUGGCCAAGUGUAUGAUAGGCCGGUUGCGCGGCCAGAGAUGCUAAAGGUGCGCGAGGCGCAGGAGUGCGAAAAGCUACCGUACCAGAGGUUAUCUUAAUCUUACCGUAGCUUACCAGAGGUUAUCUCAACACGAGGUAUGAAUAUAAAAAGACCGGUGCUGACAGGUCGUGUUGACAGUACGAGAGUUGGGGGGGGGGGGGGGUGUUGUUAAUUACGUGUGGUUAGGUGUUAACGAUUGUCAAACUUCAUAAACAAACAAGGGCAGCGGGGCCAAGAAAGACAUAGAAACACACCACAAUUCUUUUGGUUUGGACCUGAGUUCAGGACCUUUACGCCGAAGCGCGUGUGUUUAUCGUACAUAUCAUCAUAGUCAUUUACAUAAUGCGAGGGGAAAAUUAAUGCAUUUUUAAGUUUGCCGUUCCAAAGCAUUGUUGAAAAGGUGCUUCGGGUUGUCCUACAAGCGUGAAAUGUGCAUCGUUUUGUCAUAUUGUUAAUCGUUAUUCCUCUUCCAGUAACAGCAGCAGCGGCGGCUCGAACCAGCGUAGCACGCACUAAAGGAAAUUAAAAGAGAAAUAACUUCCAUCGUCCAUGGUUUACCUUGAGGCAUAGAAACGAACUCGCAUCAUUCAUUCAAGCGAACUAAGAGCUGCGAUAGAAGAUAGAAAGAAAGGGCCCACCGCAAGGUUCUGUUGAGAUGGUUCUAGCAAAGGACACAGCAAGGUAUGAUGAUUGUAGGCGUACUGCUUACCUUCUUACCAAUCAGGCUGCAAUCGACGAGUGGUCUUGGCCUGCCACAAAAGCAGUUCGAAGACGCCACGUAACCAGAUCUUCUGUAUGACUGAUUCCAUGCUACAUCUGAGUUCGGUGCAGUUCAAAAUCGUGUGUUUUGUGAACCUACAUCGAGAGUAAGUUUUGUUGUGUUAAUUAAGUAUGUUUUGCGAUUAAAGUAAUGUUUUCCUUGCAGCUCAUUCUCUUCAUCGAGCGGUACGAUGUUAAGGACGGUCGCGUUGUUGUUCUCAAAUUUAAAUCGUCCAGUCGGAAGUUGUUCUUCUGGAUGCAAGAACCGAAAGCAGAUAGCGACGAAGCGGUGGUGUUGGCGAGUCAAUGAAGCAACAGCGGGAACGUUCUGUCUUCAUGUUUGUAAUACCGUAAGACGAAGAGUCUCGUUUAUAUUUGAUUCACCCUCGUACAUAAGAUAUGCAUCCUUCCUAUCCGGUUUCAUUUUCUGCUUGAGUGAAGGAGACGUGGCAAUGCGUAUGUAUUAUGGUAAACCAUUUACGAUGGCGUUUAUGUAUCUCUUUGAGGCUGUUAAGAAGCAGUUUGACUACCUGCUGGCG
Long non-coding RNA from Anopheles darlingi, 4143 nucleotides. RefSeq lists it as uncharacterized. NCBI's taxonomy places the organism in Eukaryota, Metazoa, Arthropoda, Insecta, Diptera, Culicidae. The record is from RefSeq and is a predicted model, not a curated record. The transcript is spliced from 4 exons.